GACGAACGCUGGCGGCGUGCCUAAUACAUGCAAGUCGAGCGAAGUUUUUCUGGUGCUUGCACCGGAAAAACUUAGCGGCGAACGGGUGAGUAACACGUAAAGAACCUGCCUCAUAGACUGGGACAACUAUUGGAAACGAUAGCUAAUACCGGAUAAUAGCAUUAACUGCAUGGUUGAUGUUUAAAAGUUGGUUUUGCUAACACUAUGAGAUGGCUUUGCGGUGCAUUAGCUAGUUGGUGGGGUAAAGGCCUACCAAGGCGACGAUGCAUAGCCGACCUGAGAGGGUGAUCGGCCACACUGGGACUGAGACACGGCCCAGACUCCUACGGGAGGCAGCAGUAGGGAAUCUUCCGCAAUGGGCGGAAGCCUGACGGAGCAACGCCGCGUGAGUGAAGAAGGAUUUCGGUUCGUAAAGCUCUGUUGUUAGGGAAGAAUGAUUGUGUAGUAACUAUACACAGUAGAGACGGUACCUAACCAGAAAGCCACGGCUAACUACGUG
This 499-nucleotide ribosomal RNA is filed under the name uncultured bacterium. Its description in RNAcentral is "partial 16S ribosomal RNA". It matches the Rfam family "Bacterial small subunit ribosomal RNA", at positions 28 to 507 of the family's 1533-position model. The record is from RNAcentral.